RNAcentral lists this small RNA (268 nucleotides) under Pongo abelii (Sumatran orangutan). The record is from RNAcentral. Lineage: Eukaryota; Metazoa; Chordata; Mammalia; Primates; Hominidae.
GCUAGGCAUGGUGGUGCACGCCUGUAAUCCCAGCUACUCAGGAGGCUGAGGCAGGAGAAUCGCUUGAACCCGGGAGGCAGAGGGUUGCAGUGAGCCAAGAUCGUGCCAUUACACUCCAGCCUGGGCAACAAGAGGGAAACUCCAUCUCCAAAAAAAGAAAAAAAAAAAAAAUGGCCAGGCGCGGUGGCUCAUGCCUGUAAUCCCAGCACUUUGGGAGGCUGAGGUGAGCGGAUCACGAAGUCAGGAGAUCGAGACCAUCCUGGCUAAC